Molecule: long non-coding RNA, 291 nt
Filed under: Microcebus murinus (gray mouse lemur)
Lineage: Eukaryota; Metazoa; Chordata; Mammalia; Primates; Cheirogaleidae
Description: lncRNA (ENSMICG00000048791.1)
Source: RNAcentral
GCAGGAGUUAAAAAGUUUAUGAAAGGAGAGUCAUUAUGUAGAGUAAAAAGAAGAAUUAUUCAAGCAAUAUGGGAUUAACAAUUUCAUGCUAUGCUCUGCUGACUGAGUUAGCCAGUCAUCAAAAAGCCUCUCUUUGGCCCUGCUCCUUCUCACCUAGGUAUGUUGGAUCUUUACAAAAGCAAAGUGGAAGGGAAUUCUCAGACAGACACCUCUAAGUUACUGAAACAUUAUCUGUCUUCACUCUUUUUCGUGGCAGAGAGAGCAACUUCGUUCUUUUGCCCCUAAAUCAAC